This is an RNA transcript of Triplophysa dalaica, 6983 nucleotides long. It is a transcript of the gene named MAF bZIP transcription factor a, with no coding region annotated. NCBI's taxonomy places the organism in Eukaryota, Metazoa, Chordata, Actinopteri, Cypriniformes, Nemacheilidae. The transcript is spliced from 4 exons. The record is from RefSeq and is a predicted model, not a curated record.
UCUCACAAUGUACAAUGCAAAUACAGUGCAUAUACACAUAGAGCAAAGGGAACUGAUGUUAUCGUUCAUGGCCAGUGGUAGGAGAGAUUUCACCUAUUAUUACACUUGUCUCAUUCCGGCCUCUAAAAAUACCAGAGAUCGCAAGUAUGAGAUUAUAGACUUUGUCAGAAAAGAUACUAAGUAAAUGAUUACAUGCCUAUGUGAGGCGCAUGAAAUCACUAUUUGCUGGUUCAAGUUUCUAACACAAGCUAGGCAUGGCCACUGGGGACACUUUCUCCAAUGGGCAAUUCACCCAAACAUGGGAACAUCCUUGUGGAUUUUAAUCGUUUUUUAUUUUUUCCACAAUGCUCAGUAAAGGGCUUUUAAUUAAAAUUCAGGAAAGCCAAGACGGCAAGAGUUAUGGAACUGAAGAACAACCUUAAAGAUCUAGACAGGAACAUUAAUUAAUCAGACAGGCAUUUUAUACAAAGUAGGGAAAUGGCUUUGCUUAUAUACUAUCCUUAGGGCUUGCUUGAUAGUGAUUACUUGAACAAUGAAAAGGAGAGAAAUAUCUCAUUGACAUACUGCCGUAAUUGACCCCUGACCUCUAGUAAAAGAGCAAUGAACAGAGAGUAGUUUAAUUUUUGACUAGAUUUGGCAGAUCCCGAGAAACAAGUUUUAUAGCCAAUCUCUUGAUCUCAGCUUGGAUCAUUUGGUUCAUAACUGAACAAAAGCCUGUCGUGAGCCCAAAGCCCAGCUGCAAAUUGUAUGUAAAGAAGUUGCCUGACAUUAUCUUUGAAGUAGAAUUAAAAUAGAAUAUAAGAAUAUAACUUAAACUGAAUGCAUGAAAAUACAGCUAAUACCCUAAAAAAACACUCUAAUGAGUCUUUUUUUGAGUUAAAUGUUAUAUCACAUUGCAAUAAUUUUGUUAUUAAAAUUCGCAUUUUAACAGAACAUAAUAUACACUCUCACACACACGUGUUAAACUCACACAUCAUCUUACUAUCCGAAAGGUGGCACUGUUGAGUUUAGAAAAAUGCCCCUUGCUGUUCUACUCAAUAAACAUUACUUGCUUUGUCUGUUAUUCUUUAAAAAAACAGUUUUAUUUAUUUUAAAAUGGCACUUGAAAUGUACAAAUUACUUAGUUGUUUUGUUUAUUUUAUUUUGUUGUUAUUUAGGUUUGUCAUGCCCUCUGAUUAAUCUAUUAAUAUAGCCUACAUCAAUCAUAAAUAGUUACAGAGAGCUUAUGUGAUUUUUAUUAUGUUUUAAAUUGUUCUUUAGAAUUGUAUUUGAACUAUUUUCUUAAAUGCAAAAUAUGUUAAUUUUCUGACAUACGAGCAUACAAUACAUUAUUUUAAAAGAUCUUCAAAAUGUUAAUGCUAAAACGCAUUACAAACACAAAAUAGUACACCAACGAAGCAAAAACUUAUUGAACUUAGUGAAUUAAAUGAAUGAAAAGAUACACAAAAUAAAGGUGGGGAGAGGUAAACGUUGACAGUGAACAUUAACUCUUUCCUCAUAGUCAUUCAAGUGACAGUCAUCUGACCAGAAAAGUUUUACUUUCCGAUUUACAUUCUAAUAAACAUGAGAUCCGGAACGUCUAUUGGCUGGUUUCGCGUCCGACGUCACGGCGGCUGUAAUACACCGUCGUGCUUUUAAUCUCUAGUGUACCAAGUCGACUUUUAAAACUCUCUUCUGCUCGAUCUGUGUGUACUUCCUCACCAAUACAUCCAGCUGUCAAGCCCCUAUGCAGUCCGCUCUUCUGGAGUCACUAAAGUGUUAUGUUUAAAACCCAAAGUUUCCUGCGCAGAAAGGAGACAGUGAUCUGAUGAGUGCACGCAGCGGACAGUGCCAACGAGAGCGCGUAAUCUUGAGUUUGGAGCGCACCGAAUACUUUUUUGUUCCUGUUUAAGGUGAAACAUUUAAACAUCACCAAGCUGGCUCACCCUCACCCGACCCAGCCUGUCCUGACAGCAACCCUUCAGCCUCACUGGAGAACGGUCAGCACCAAGAGGAUGGCAUCAGAGCUGGCACUGAGCGCCCCCGACCUGCCCACAAGUCCCCUGGCUAUGGAAUAUGUUAAUGACUUCGAUCUGAUGAAGUUUGAGGUGAAGAAGGAGCCACCGGAGCCCGAUCGCAGCAUCAGCCAGUGCAGCCGUCUAAUCGCCGGGGGAUCUCUGUCUUCCACCCCGAUGAGUACGCCUUGCAGCUCGGUUCCCCCUUCCCCGAGCUUCUCGGAGCCCAGCCCGGGCUCCGGGAGCGAGCAGAAGGCGCACCUGGAGGAUUUUUACUGGAUGACCGGUUACCAACAACAGCUAAACCCGGAGACGCUGGGCUUUAGUCCCGAGGACGCGGUGGAGGCGCUGAUCAGCAGCGGUCAUCAGAGUUUCGACGGCUAUGCGAGAGCUCAGCAAUUCACCGGCGCAACCGGAGCAGGAGGCGCAGCGGCUGGGGAGGAGAUGGGCUCCGCCGCCGCGGUGGUGUCCGCAGUCAUUGCCGCCGCCGCAGCGCAGAACGGGGCACCUCAUCACCACCAUCUUCACCAUCACCACCAUAGUCACCAGCCGCACCAAACUACUGGGGUCCUGUCCGGCAACCCCGCUGCCCAUCACCAGUAUGCACACCUGGACGACCGCUUCUCCGACGACCAGUUGGUCAGCAUGACCGUGCGGGAGUUGAACCGCCAGCUGCGAGGUGUCAGCAAAGAGGAGGUGAUCCGUCUCAAACAGAAGAGGAGAACCUUGAAAAACAGAGGCUAUGCGCAGUCGUGUCGCUUUAAGCGGGUCCAACAGAAGCACGUCCUGGAGGGCGAGAAGACCCAGCUCGUGCAGCAAGUGGACCACCUCAAGCAGGAGAUUUCCAGACUGGUUCGCGAAAGAGACGCGUACAAAGAGAAGUACGAAAAGCUGGUGAGCAGCGGCUUUCGAGAAAACUCGUCGAGCAGCGACAACAACCCCUCAUCUCCUGAGUUUUUCAUGUCUACCAGAAAGUUUCUUCAUCUGUGACUGUGAGGAGCUGUGAUCUUCCGGACCCUGGCCUAGAGGAGUGAGACGAUUCUUCAGAUGGCUACAUAAUCUGCCGAUCUUGUAGCAGCGGGCAGAUCAUUCUAUAAUUGUGGAACAGACCCAGAGAAGCUCUAUCAUCUCAGCUCUUGUCAGGUCACUGCUUCCCAUUCUCCACUCUACCAUAAUGUCUAGGAAUGAACUGCAACCUGCUACGCACCAUUUGACUAGUAAGUACAAAUUAUAACUACAGUCUGUGUUCUUCUCACCCAACUGUUAAGAAUGUUACUGCUUUCAAAUGCAUAGAGACUGUGUCUGUCCCCCGAAUAAUACAACCAAAUAAUAAUUUAUUUAAAAGUCAGAGAAAAAAUCUUAUCAUGAUUAAACCAAAAGACAAUAUAUUUAAUGAGCAAAACCAACGCCUAAAGUUUGGGCUACUUAAUAUUAGAUCACUAAAUCCAAAAGCAGUUAUUGUAAAUGAAAUGAUCACAGACAACAGUUUUGAUAUACUUUGCCUCACUGAAACCUGGCUUAAGCCAAAUGAUUAUUUUGGUCUAAAUGAGUCUACUCCUCCAAGCUACGGUUAUAUUCAUGAGCCACGUCCGGUUGGUCGAGGUGGUGGUGUCGCAACAAUCUUUAGAGACUUUCUUACCGUUACUCGGAGAACAAUGCAUACAUUUAAAUCAUUUGAAAUGCUUGCGUUGAACAUAACAGUUCCAAACAAAAGUAAAAAAUCAUUGGUCUCUCUUACAUUGGUUACUGUGUAUAGACCCCCUGGGCCUUACACUAAUUUUCUGAUAGAGUUCGCAGACUUCUUAUCGGAUCUAUUGGUUAACGUCGAUAAAGUACUGAUUGUUGGAGAUUUUAAUAUCCACGUAGACAGUGCUAACGAUCCAUUAGCUGUGGCGUUUAAAGAACUACUAGACUCUUGUGGUGUAACACAAUACAUCAAUAGACCUACUCAUCGCCUUAAUCAUACCCUAGACUUGAUUAUAUCUCACGGAGCCGAUCUAACCAAUAUCGAUAUUAUACCUCAAAGCGACGAUGUUUCCGAUCACCAUCUUAUAAUAUGUACACUGCGCACUGCAGAAAUCAGUUGUAUAUCUCGUUAUCGACAAGGUAGAACAAUCACCUCAACUACUAAAGAUAGUUUCGUAAAGAACUUGCCAGAUCUGACUUCUCUAAUAACCUUUCCAACGAAUAUAAAAUUGCUCGAUGACAUGACCAGCAACAUGGGCACUAUUUUCUCUAAUACAUUAGAAGCGGUCGCACCUAAGAAGUCAAAAAGGAUAAAUGAAAAGAACAUAGCACCAUGGUAUGAUAACACCACUCGCGCCCUAAAAAGAGAAACGCAUAAACUGGAGCAAAAAUGGAAACAAACCCAAUUAGAGGUCUUUAAAAUUGCAUGGAAAGAGAGUGCAAGCUGUUACAAAAAGGCACUAAAAGCGGCAAAAGCCAAGCACUUCCAUAACCUCAUAGAAAAUAACAAAAACAAUCCAAGAUUUUUAUUUAGUACAACUGCUAAACUAACAAACAAACAGACUCCACCUGACCUGGGUAUUCCGCCGCACCUUGGUAGCAAUGAAUUCAUGAAUUUUUUUACAGAGAAAAUCGAAAUAAUACGAGACAACAUAGCUAAAACCAAACCUCCAAGUUUGUCGGAAGAAUUAGUUUCAACCGUCACCCAAAAAGAAAAGCUAGAGUGUUUUUCUCCUAUAAAUCAGGAAGAUUUAAUUAAAAUUAUUGCAACAUCCAAACCGACGACAUGCUUAUUAGACCCCAUUCCGACUACUUUAUUAAAAGAGUUACUACCUGCUGUAAUUGAGCCCAUUUGUAACAUAAUCAACUCGUCUAUUAAUCUAGGACAUGUCCCAGGACCCUUUAAACUGGCUGUAAUUAAGCCUCUUAUCAAAAAACCAAAUUUAGACCCAAAUGAACUUGGAAGCUAUAGACCGAUUUCAAAUCUCCCGUACUUGUCUAAAAUACUAGAAAAAGUAGUGUCAACUCAACUGUGUACCUUCCUACAAAAUAAUGACAUGCACGAAAAGUUUCAGUCUGGCUUUAGACCGCAUCACAGCACUGAAACUGCGCUCGUUAGAAUUACAAAUGACCUUCUUAUUGCUUCAGAUAAAGGAAACAUCUCACUCUUAGUCCUGCUUGACCUUAGUGCUGCUUUCGAUACUGUAGACCAUAAAAUACUACUAGAUCGUUUACACCAUUAUAUCGGUAUUCAGGGACAGGCACUGCAAUGGUUCAGAUCUUACUUAACAGACCGAUAUCAAUACGUCCAUUUAAAUGGGAAAUCGUCAAAUCUUACGCAAGUCAAUUAUGGAUUACCUCAGGGAUCGGUUUUAGGACCCUUGCUUUUCUCCAUAUACAUGCUGCCCCUCGGCAACAUUAUUAGAAAACAUGGAAUUAGCUUCCACUGUUAUGCAGAUGAUACUCAGCUAUAUAUCUCAUCAAGACCAGAUGAUUCCUUUAAGCUAUCCAAACUGGCAGAGUGCAUCGAAGAUAUAAAACAUUGGAUGACUAGUAAUUUCCUCCUUUUAAACUCUAGCAAAACAGAAAUAUUACUUAUAGCACCAAAAUUAAGUAAACCGAAUAUCUCCGAUUACAGCCUGCAAAUUGAAAGCUGCACUGUUACUCCAACAAAUACAGUUAAAGACCUAGGCGUUAUAUUAGACGGCAACCUGUCAUUUAAAAAUCACAUCUCAAAUAUCACAAAAACAGCCUUCUUCCACCUUAGAAAUGUUGCCAAAUUACGAAAUAGUUUACGUGUUGCAGACGCAGAAAAGCUUAUUCAUGCAUUUGUGACCUCACGGCUUGACUAUUGUAAUGCUCUACUUAGUGGUUGUCCUGUAUCAUCGAUAAACAAACUACAGUUAGUUCAGAAUGCAGCUGCCAGAGUUCUUACUAGGUCAAGAAAAUACGAUCACAUAACCCCAGUUUUAUCAUCGCUUCACUGGCUACCCAUUAAGUAUCGCAUUGAUUUUAAAAUUAUUUUAAUUACUUACAAAGCCCUGAACGGUUUAGCACCUACUUACUUAACCGAGCUUUUAUCACGUUACAACCCAUCACGCUCGCUGAGAUCUCAAAACUUAGGACUUUUGACAAUACCUAGAAUAACAAAAUCCACCAAAGGUGGACGAGCUUUCUCAUACGUAGCACCUAAACUCUGGAAUAGCCUUCCUGAUACUAUUCGAGGGUCAGACACACUCUCCCAAUUUAAAUCUAGAUUAAAGACACAUCUUUUCAGCCAAGCUUUCACUUAAUGCAUAGUUAAUGAACAGCAGCUACGCUAAUUAUUCUCUUUAUUCUCUUUCCGCCUCUGCCUCGGGAUGCCCAUCCCGAGGUAGGAAGAAGUUCCACCAUGUCCAGACGACCGACAGAUGCCCAUCCCGAGGUAGGAAGAAGUUCCACCAUGUCCAGACGACCGACAGAUGCCCAUCCCCAAUUUGAGAUUACACCAGAUACAGCUGCAGACUGACUGACCAUCCCAGCUCCAUCUAAGGCAAUUCCACCAGCUGCCAAGAGAAAUAUGACCAUCGGACCAUCCCAGCUCAGACCACUACAUCCCCAACCAAGAGCAAAGACGGACUAUUUGUCUUAUUAAUGCUGAAGUUACAAUAUUUGGUAUUAAAUGCUAAACUAAAAUCACAUGUCACCAGUCUGAGUGCAGCUAUGACACGUCAGAGGGGAUCUGGCCCUCCCGGUUGAGCCUGGUUUCUCCCGAGGUUUUUUUCUCCAUUAAUCAAUCAUUGGAGUUUGGGUUCCUCGCCACAGCAGGGCAGUGUUGGCCUGCUCACCGGGAGACUGCAUUCAUUCAUUUAUUUAUUUAGAAAUUAGAUGUUAUUUAUUAGAAUGAACUUACUCGUUGUAUAAAUACCAUGCACUGUGCUGUGUUUUUUACUUUUCUGUUUUUCCUGUUUGCCCCUGUAAAGCUGCUUUGAAACAAUACACAUUGUGAAAAGCGCUAUAUAAAUAAACUUGAACUGAACUGUG